GAUGAACGCUGGCGGCGUGCCUAACACAUGCAAGUCGAGCGAAGCGCCUUACUUGAUUUCUUCGGGAUGAAAGUAUUGUGACUGAGCGGCGGACGGGUGAGUAACGCGUGGAUAACCUGCCUCAUACAGGGGGAUAACAGUUAGAAACGACUGCUAAUACCGCAUAUGCACACAGUACCGCAUGGUACAGGGUGGAAAGAUUUAUCGGUGUGGGAUGGACCCGCGUUGGAUUAGCUAGUUGGCAGGGUAACGGCCUACCAAGGCGACGAUCCAUAGCCGGCCUGAGAGGGUGGACGGCCACAUUGGGACUGAGACACGGCCCAA
RNAcentral lists this ribosomal RNA (324 nucleotides) under uncultured bacterium. RNAcentral's name for it is "bacterial SSU rRNA". It matches the Rfam family "Bacterial small subunit ribosomal RNA", at positions 28 to 334 of the family's 1533-position model. The record is from RNAcentral.